This 246-nucleotide ribosomal RNA is filed under the name uncultured bacterium. RNAcentral's name for it is "partial 16S ribosomal RNA". It matches the Rfam family "Bacterial small subunit ribosomal RNA", at positions 523 to 769 of the family's 1533-position model. The record is from RNAcentral.
AUACGUAGGGUGCAAGCGUUGUCCGGAAUUAUUGGGCGUAAAGAGCUCGUAGGCGGCUUGUCGCGUCUGCUGUGAAAACCCGAGGCUCAACCUCGGGCUUGCAGUGGUACGGGCAGGCUAGAGUGCGGUAGGGGAGAUUGGAAUUCCUGGUGUAGCGGUGGAAUGCGCAGAUAUCAGGAGGAACACCGAUGGCGAAGGCAGAUCUCUGGGCCGUAACUGACGCUGAGGAGCGAAAGCAUGGGGAGC